RNAcentral lists this unclassified non-coding RNA (202 nucleotides) under uncultured Kurtzmanomyces. Its description in RNAcentral is "partial internal transcribed spacer 2". The record is from RNAcentral. Lineage: Eukaryota; Fungi; Basidiomycota; Agaricostilbomycetes.
UACCUCUCAACCCCGUCCCUUGCAAAAGGGAUCGUCUCAGGGUUUGGAUCGUGGCGCCUUUGCCCGGAAGCUCUGCUUCCUUGGGCUGCGCUGAAUUGCAACAAGCUGUACCUUUGUACUGGCGGUUUGACCCGUUGUCAUAAGCUCACACUUUCAAUGGGGACGUCGGUCGGGAUGGGCUUACCACAAAUCAAUCUAUACA